GGGGCCGUGGUGUAGCUCGGUCUAACACGCCACCCUGUCACGGUGGAGACCGCGGGUUCAAAUCCCGUCGGCCCCG
Molecule: transfer RNA, 76 nt
Filed under: Pseudomonadota bacterium
Lineage: Bacteria; Pseudomonadati; Pseudomonadota
Also listed under: 1 other name
Description: tRNA-Asp
Rfam family: tRNA
About the family: Transfer RNA (tRNA) molecules are approximately 80 nucleotides in length. Their secondary structure includes four short double-helical elements and three loops (D, anti-codon, and T loops).
Source: RNAcentral